Long non-coding RNA from Magnolia sinica, 1245 nucleotides. RefSeq lists it as uncharacterized. NCBI's taxonomy places the organism in Eukaryota, Viridiplantae, Streptophyta, Magnoliopsida, Magnoliales, Magnoliaceae. The record is from RefSeq and is a predicted model, not a curated record. The transcript is spliced from 4 exons.
ACCAUAAUCCUGUUUCCUGAUAGCUUUAUCUUUCAACAUUUGCUGAGUUUUUGGGAAAUCAUGAUUGGUUAUUUGGUGAUUGAUGUCAUUCCUCGGAGCGUUCACCCGAUGGCUGAAUACCAUGGAGCAGCUCAUAAGGUCGGAGGAAAUUUUGCAUAAAGCUAUGUUUAUGAUGUAGCAAGACGAGACACAUUUACAAUUCUUGUGGAUAUAAGGGCUAAGGAAAUCGAUCUCUACUCAACUAAUCAAGAUUGCAUCAAGAUGCUUGUUGGAAACAAAGUUGAUAAGGAAAGUGGAAGGGUUGUCACGAAGAAAGAGUGAAUUGAUUUUGCUUGGGAGUAUGGAUGUCUUUUCUUUGAAUGUAGUGCAAAAACUCGAAUUAAUGUACAACAGUGUUUUGAAGAGCUUGUUUUAAAGGAAUUGUAAUUAGAUUCUUCUCAGCAUGUUCGCGCUGCUUCCUCCAAGGCUACUCUGAAUCAACCAACAAUCAGAGUUGUAGCUAUAAUAGCUGAAGGUUGUAAAGAAGCCUCCACCUACUCUAAUGGAGAACACAUAAUCAAAAGUGAAAAAUAAGCAAGAGGAGCCCAAAGCCAGUGAGAUGAAAGCGGCUGGGGUUGGACUAAAAGUUUGUUGGAAAUUUGGUCAAAAUGCAAUUCUAUAGGCCAAUCUUUCUACACAAGAGAGCAGUAAUGGUAUGGCCUUUCUGAUGAUUUAAUAGGCUAGAACAUUGGUUUGAUAUGUUCCACUAUGGGUGGACUCUGAUAUGCUCCAAAAAUCUACUCAGCUGGAUAAUCUUAAAGUUUUUAUUCAGGAGAAUCUUGACCACAAGGUUUCACAUGUAAAUUCCUAGAAGCCAAAUCCUGUUUUUUAGUAUCUAAAACUUCCCUGCCAUUAUUUCAAAUCACAGGUGAUGGACCACAAUUUGUGGGCUUGAUGUUUGUAAUCUAGAUGUAAAAUACCUCUGUUAUGAGUGGUCUAGAUGUUGCACAAGUUGAUAUUGGUUUGUGUACUGCAAAUUGCCUCGUCAAUCUCUCCUCAUGCCAGUCAACCUAGCAUUUCUGAUCGAUAUUUUCAGAAAUUGACCUUUUUUUUGGAGAUUUCUUUGUUUGGAUUUUUUUUUUUUUUUUUUCCAAUUUAAGGAAUUGCAGUGAGUUGUGAAAAACCAUGGUGGAUCUGUUCUUAUUGGAUGCUUGUUUUGGUCUUUUGGAUAUGCAUGUAUUGAAUUUUUGUAACAAAAACACGAUA